RNAcentral lists this unclassified non-coding RNA (433 nucleotides) under soil metagenome. Its description in RNAcentral is "partial contains 5.8S ribosomal RNA, internal transcribed spacer 2, and large subunit ribosomal RNA". The stretch from base 1 to 120 matches the Rfam family "5.8S ribosomal RNA", at positions 35 to 154 of the family's 154-position model. The record is from RNAcentral.
GAUGAAGAACGUAGCGAAAUGCGAUACGUAAUGUGAAUUGCAGAAUUCAGUGAAUCAUCGAAUCUUUGAACGCAUAUUGCGCUCUCUGGUAUUCCGGAGAGCAUGCUUGUUUGAGUAUCAGUAAACACCUCAACUCCCCUUUCUUUUUUUGAAAUGGGAGCUGGACUUGAGUGAUCCCAACGCUUUUCCUCACCGAAAAGUGGCGGGUUACUUGAAAUGCAGGUGCAGCUGGACUUUUCUCUGAGCUAUAAGCAUAUCUAUUUAGUCUGCCUAAAAAACAGAUUAUUACCUUUGCUGCAGCUAACAUAAAGGAGAUUAGUUCUUGUGCUGACUGAUGCAGGAUUCACAAAGACGGCUUCGGCCGACUUUGUAAACUCGAUCUCAAAUCAAGUAAGACUACCCGCUGAACUUAAGCAUAUCAAUAAGCGGAGGA